This 444-nucleotide ribosomal RNA is filed under the name uncultured bacterium. RNAcentral describes it as "partial 16S ribosomal RNA". It matches the Rfam family "Bacterial small subunit ribosomal RNA", at positions 338 to 795 of the family's 1533-position model. The record is from RNAcentral.
CCUACGGGUGGCUGCAGUGGGGAAUAUUGGGCAAUGGAGGAAACUCUGACCCAGCAAUGCCGCGUGAAUGAAGAAGGUCUUCGGAUUGUAAAGUUCUUUAGUCAGGGAAGAAUAAAAUGACGGUACCUGAAGAAUAAGCUCCGGCUAACUACGUGCCAGCAGCCGCGGUAAUACAUAGGGAGCAAGCGUUGUUCGGAAUGACUGGGCGUAAAGGGUGCGUAGGUGGUUAUACAAGUUAGAAGUGUAAUACCCAGGGGUUAAACCGGGUGCUGCUUCUGAAACUGGAAGACUUGAGUGCAGUAGAGGUUAGUGGAAUUCCUGGUGUAGCGGUGGAAUGCGUAGAUAUUAGGAAGAACACCAGAGGCGAAGGCAGCUAACUGGACUGCAACUGACGCUGAGGCACGAAAGUGUGGGGAGCAAACAGGAUUAGAUACCCUUGUAGUC